GGAGGGGUCGCAUAGUGGUCUAGUGCGCUCGCUUGGAAAGCGAGUAUGCCGCAAGGCAUCGCGAGUUCGAAUCUCGCCCUCUCCGCAA
This 88-nucleotide transfer RNA is filed under the name Candidatus Niyogibacteria bacterium RIFCSPHIGHO2_01_FULL_45_28. Its description in RNAcentral is "tRNA-Ser". It matches the Rfam family "tRNA". Rfam says of the family: Transfer RNA (tRNA) molecules are approximately 80 nucleotides in length. Their secondary structure includes four short double-helical elements and three loops (D, anti-codon, and T loops). The record is from RNAcentral. RNAcentral also lists the same sequence under 2 other names. Lineage: Bacteria; Candidatus Niyogiibacteriota.